RNAcentral lists this ribosomal RNA (494 nucleotides) under uncultured bacterium. RNAcentral's name for it is "partial 16S ribosomal RNA". It matches the Rfam family "Bacterial small subunit ribosomal RNA", at positions 28 to 507 of the family's 1533-position model. The record is from RNAcentral.
GACGAACGCUGGCGGCGUGCUUAACACAUGCAAGUCGAACGGUGAAGCGCCUUCCUUUUUGGUGGGUGUGGAUGAGUGGCGAACGGGUGAGUAACACGUGAGUAACCUGCCCCCUUCUUCGGGAUAACCGCAUGAAAGUGUGGCUAAUACGGGAUAUUCUGGGUCUGUCGCAUGAUGGGUCUGGGAAAGAUAUUGUUUCGGUGGGGGAUGGGCUCGCGGCCUAUCUGCUUGUUGGUGGGGUGAUGGCCUACCAAGGCGGUGACGGGUAGCCGGCCUGGGAGGGUGGACGGUCACACUGGGACUGCGACACGGCCCAGACUCCUACGGGAGGCAGCAGUGGAGAAUAUUGCACAAUGGGCGCAAGCCUGAUGCAGCGACGCCGCGUGAGGGAUGGAGGCCUUCGGGUUGUGAACCUCUUUCGCCAGUGAAGCAGGCCUGCCUCGUUUGUGGGUGGGUUGACGGUAGCUGGAUAAGAAGCGCCGGCUAACUACGUG